GACGAACGCUGGCGGCGUGCUUAACACAUGCAAGUCGAACGGAAAGGCCCUGCUUUUGUGGGGUGCUCGAGUGGCGAACGGGGGAGUAACACGUGAGUAACCUGCCCUUGACUUUGGGAUAACUUCAGGAAACUGGGGCUAAUACCGGAUAGGAGCUCCUGCUGCAUGGUGGGGGUUGGAAAGUUUCGGCGGUUGGGGAUGGACUCGCGGCUUAUCAGCUUGUUGGUGGGGUAGUGGCUUACCAAGGCUUUGACGGGUAGCCGGCCUGAGAGGGUGACCGGCCACAUUGGGCCUGAGGUACGGCCCAGACUCCUACGGGAGGCAGCAGUGGGGAAUAUUGCACAAUGGGCGGAAGCCUGAUGCAGCAACGCCGCGUGCGGGAUGACGGCCUUCGGGUUGUAAACCGCUUUCGCCUGUGACGAAGCGUGAGUGACGGUAAUGGGUAAAGAAGCACCGGCUAACUACGUG
Molecule: ribosomal RNA, 468 nt
Filed under: uncultured bacterium
Lineage: Bacteria
Description: partial 16S ribosomal RNA
Rfam family: Bacterial small subunit ribosomal RNA
Source: RNAcentral